UUGAUAUCGCAAAAAGAAAGGUUGGCAUUGAUGAAUUCUUGGCUCAUAAAAAAUCAAAAAAACUACGAAAUUUCGAAUAAUAAAUCAGUCUCAGCGAUAUAUAUUAUUUCACAAUUACGAAUCAUUGAAGAAGAUUUCACGGCCGAACAAGACAGCCGAUAGCGCUCAAUACAGAGGUCAGAUCGCUACAUACACUCACAUGGAAAUCAGCAUAAUCAUAAAAAAAGAAGAGCGUAUUACGCAUUGACCGCAAGCACGCGCAGACUCCUUUCGCGUGGGAUAAAUAUAAAAGUCUUGAGUGAUAUCACGACUAUUUAGUAUGCUAGCAACCGUUUAACGUUUGAGACAUAAUCUGCCGUGUAAAUUGAAGUGCAACUGCAAAAAUGAAGCUGCUCGUGUUUUUCCUUCUUGUCGUUGCUGUCUCGCUGUGCGCUGCUGAUUCUUUCCUGCCCAAUGGCGUCAUUCCCGGAUGCAACGGCGCUCAAAAAACACUUUGCACCGUCAAGUGUUUGUCGGACAAUUACUUGUGUAGAAAAUCCGAUGCAAGUUUGGGCUACUCAUGCAUAUGUUUGAAUUAACUUCAAUUAUCUUGUCGAGUUCACUGAAUCACGAUUACAUUUCGACUUAACGGAAAACGGAUUACGAAACUGGCUUUUAUUAUAACAGUGUUAGCAGACAAUUAUGCUUAUUUUUAUUUUAUUUCAUUUUGUUGUGGUUGAAAGAUUUUAAAUGAUGUUUAAUUUAUUUAUCGUACAACUGUACUGUACAGAUUCUAAUAAAAUGUGAGCACGAAAUAACUGAGUGAUUGUUAUUACGGUUUUAACUUUCUAUCAAUAAGAUUAUUUAACAAGAAUGUCAAAUCCUUGAUAAAUAGAUCUUACUUUUAAAAAAAUUUAAUUUGUAUAUUUUUAGUUUUUAAAAUUACACAAAAUUGAUAUGUUCUUAUUCCAUUUCAUCUAUAACAACGACUGCAUUUGUUUUACAUAUAAAGGAUUUUUUCAACAGCUUUUAACGCAAUAAGUAUGAUUAAUGUAUUUAUGGGAACGGGGUCAUCGAUUAAGAAGUGAAUGCGUUAUCUGUAAAAGAUAUGUUCUGCAUAUUGGGAAGUCUCUUAUUUGUAAAUAUUAAUUUAUCAAGGCAAUAAAUCAUUUGCUACCAA
Molecule: long non-coding RNA, 1159 nt
Organism: Phymastichus coffea
Lineage: Eukaryota; Metazoa; Arthropoda; Insecta; Hymenoptera; Eulophidae
Exons: 2
Source: RefSeq, a predicted model, not a curated record